CGGAGAUUGCAGGUUGCAGCAGCGUCCCGCAAGAAGUUGAAGAGAAUGAGAAUGACCACAAUAUUGAAAGAGAGGAAACAUUGCUACUUUUUGAAGGUGCAAUAACUGAAAAUAAACACCAUCUUCGCUUCACACUGGAAAAGUUCCAAU
This is a long non-coding RNA of Bombina bombina (fire-bellied toad), 150 nucleotides long. RefSeq lists it as uncharacterized. NCBI's taxonomy places the organism in Eukaryota, Metazoa, Chordata, Amphibia, Anura, Bombinatoridae. The record is from RefSeq and is a predicted model, not a curated record. The transcript is spliced from 3 exons.